GACGAACGCUGGCGGCGUGCCUAAUACAUGCAAGUAGAACGCACAGUUUAUACCGUAGCUUGCUACACCAUAGACUGUGAGUUGCGAACGGGUGAGUAACGCGUAGGUAACCUGCCUGGUAGCGGGGGAUAACUAUUGGAAACGAUAGCUAAUACCGCAUAAUAUUAAUUAUUGCAUGAUAAUUAAUUGAAAGGUGCAAUUGCACCACUACCAGAUGGACCUGCGUUGUAUUAGCUAGUAGGUGAGGUAACGGCUCACCUAGGCGACGAUACAUAGCCGACCUGGGAGGGUGAUAGGCCACACUGGGACUGAGACACGGCCCAGACUCCUACGGGAGGCAGCAGUAGGGAAUCUUCGGCAAGGGACGAAAGUCUGACCGAGCAACGCCGCGUGAGUGAAGAAGGUUUUCGGAUCGUAAAGCUCUGUUGUAAGAGAAGAACGGGUGUGAGAGUGGAAAGUUCACACUGUGACGGUAGCUUACCAGAAAGGGACGGCUAACUACGUG
Molecule: ribosomal RNA, 505 nt
Filed under: uncultured bacterium
Lineage: Bacteria
Description: partial 16S ribosomal RNA
Rfam family: Bacterial small subunit ribosomal RNA
Source: RNAcentral